AGGCGGGCAGGUCGCACUCGUCCAACAUCAGCUGCUCCAGGCGGGGGCAGGCGGCCGCCAGGCGGGACACCACGUCGGGCGACAGCUGCGUAAGGAAGGGGCAGGUUGGCGCGUGGGGACGGAGCAAGCAAGGGCACGGGGCGGCGCGUGCUUGGUGCAGUGUCCGCUUGGAGUGGUAUGGGCAUGGUCAGAUCUGGCCCACGUGACCCCUUUCCGUGCCCACCCUACCCACAAACUAUUCCGAACCCAUCCUACCCACCCCAUCCAGUGCUCACCUGGCAGCAGUGCCGCAGCCGCAGGUUGCUCAGCGCCCCACAGGUCGUAAGCCAUCCCAGCAGCGCCUCGCAGCUAAACGGCCGCCGCCCCGCGUCCCCCACCUCCCCUUCUCUCUGUCCUUGCUGUGUUCCCCCCUCCUCCGCCUCCGCCACCUGUGAUGCCGCAGCGGCGGCCGCACCACCCCUGCCACUGCCCUCCUCCACCGCCACCACACCAGCGGCGCGGCCACGCCCCGCCUGGGCCUGAACACGACCCACACGCGGUCGCUGGUAGCCGGUCUGCUCCAGCCGCAGCUGACUCAGUGCAGGCGUGCCGCGGCGGCGCAGCUCCCCUAGCAGCCCCACCGACAGCCCCGCCACGCCCACCAGCGCCAGCGUGCGCAGCCGGCGCAGGGGAGGCAGCGAAGGCGGCAGCGGCAGCGGCAGCGGCAGCGGCAGCGGUAUCCGCGCCGCGUGCUCAGCACCAGCAGCACCAUCGGUGCGCGCGCUGCCGCCGCCGCCGCCUGUUCCAACCUCGCUGCCUCCUGCUGCCAGCUGCCCGACCGGCCUGCCGUACAGGAGUGAGAGCAGGUCGUCGUCGUACAGCUCCGUGGCACUGCCGCCCACCAGCUGCAGGUCAGACAUGGCCCACCGCCGUACACAGCGCCGCCGUACGCACUGCCGUACACACCGCCGCCGCUGCUGUGGCGGUGCUUCUUCUUCUUCUUCUGCCUCCGCGGCCGCGGCAGCUUCCAACCCCUCCCUCUGCCCCUCCUGCCCCUCGUGCCCCUCCGCCUCAUGCCCCUGCAUCGCCAGUCCUUGCUGCCCCCCCACCGCCGCCUUCUGCUCCGCCAGCCAGCCCAGCGGCCGCAGCAGGUCCUCCCGCCGGAAGGGGCCCAGGCAGUGGAUGAGGUGCAGCUCGUGCAGCUGGACCAGGUGGGGAGAAGCGGGGUGGGAGAGGGGUCGGGCUACUCCAAUCCCAACCAACGGGGGUUGUAAUCGAAUUAUCGAAACCAUACCCAAUAAGAGGAGCUGCAGGGAUAAGUAGACGCAGAAGACACACCACGCAGGAAGGCAAGUCGACACAGGAAGGCCAGACACACGCCGCACGCCCCUAGCAAGCCCGAUUGCGUUGUGGCCCGGACACACAGGCGACGUGUCCGCCGCAAGUACUGCAGCCUUUCCGCCGUUGCCCGAAUGCACCGUUUGCGCCCUUCCUCCCUUCCUCCCUUCCUCCCCAUCCCCAUCCCCUCAUCUCUUCCAACCUUCCACCCUUCCUCCCUUCCAUCCCCUGCCCGCCCACCUUGCAGCACGCCGCCAGCAGCUCCCCCAGCCCGGCGCCCGACACGCCCGCCAUCUCCAGCCGCAGCGCCUGCAGGUGCGGGCAGGCGGCGGCCAGCGCCCGCAGCCCCACGUCGUCCACGGCCGCCCCCACCCCCAGCUCCAGGCGCGAGAGCACCAGAGAGCGGUGCGGCGGAGGGGGCGGGCACGGGGCGGGCGCAGGAGGCGAGGCGGCGGCGGUGGUGGAGGUGGUGGAGGGAGUGGCGGUGGAUGAUGGCAGGGAAGAGGAGGCAGAGAAGGCGGAGGAGGAGGGGUGCGUGGAGGCGGGGACCGCUGGUCUGCCGCAGCCGCACAGGCGCAGCACGGCGGCGGUGUUGAAGCCCCACCCCACGGCCAGGCUUCUCAGGCCGUGCAAGCCUGCAAGCUGCUGCCCCUGAGCCACCUCCGCCGCCACCUCAGCCCUCUCCGCCACCGCCGCCUCAACCUCCACUUCCGCUUCCUCCUUUGCAUCUCCCUCCUCUCCAGACGAGUCGCUCGCCGAAGGGGUUUGCGCUGCAACCGGUGCCGCCUCUGCCUGAGGCAGGCGCGCGCCGCACCCAGGAGGCACCCGGUGUGGCACACACUCCGUCGGAAGUGGCGCCAGUGGCGGCGCCGCCGCCGCCGCCCGAGGUAUCGGCGGCGCCGCCGUCCGCAGCAUCGGCGGCGGCAGUGCCGCGGGCGCCAGGUCGCGACAGCGGCUGAGCCCCAGGUGCUGCAGCCGCAGCCGGCAGCCACAGGGAUCCCUGGCCUCACCGCUGCCAGCCCCCACUGCCACUGCCACUCCCGCCGCCGUAAAAUCCCCGCCAGCCGCGGCCCCGGCUACAGCCUCCGGCACCGCAGUAAGCUGUAGCAGCGCCAUCAGCUGCUCUGGCCCAACGCCCGAAGAGCCGUUCAGCUCCAGGCGCUGGAGGCGGCGCAGCGCCGGCUGUAGCACCGUCAGCCAGUCGUCGGCAGCUGUAGCAGCCGCCGUGGUGGCCGCAGCAGCCCUGGAAGAUGAGAUGGCUGUAGCAGAUGGCCGGCUCGCUGUGGCGCUUGCGGCCUUGGCACUAGCGGUUCCAUUGGGGGGCAAGCCCUUGGCAGUAGCCGCACCCUUGGUGGCAGCAGCAGCGCUCUUGGCAGAAGCAGCAGCGCCACCACGAGCAACGCUGCUACUGCUGCUGCGGCUGUUGCUACUGCCGCUUCGGUUGCCGUUGUCGAAGAAGCCGCCCAGCUCGAGGUCACACAGGCGCAGGUCUGCAUACGGUAACGGGCAGUUGGUGUUGCUUCCAGCGCUCUGCUCAAACCCACGCCGCUCCGACAUGGAAAUGAAAAUUUAUUCGGCCCUUUGAUGCUUGUUCCUAACCCCGCUCUUCCGUUCUGGGCUUUGGGGAGUUUGGGAUGAGGGCUCUGUCCCCGUCAACCGCCCACCUUGCAAGCACUCCAGUCGCGCCACCGCCUGUCGCAGCUCGCCGCCCCAGGCCCGUGCCACCACCGCUGCCGCCGCCAGCGCCUCCGCCCCCGCCGGCUGCCCAGCCGCUGCCGCUGUAGCUGCUGCCGCCGCCGCCGCCGCCACGCCGCCUGCCCACCUGUUCACAGGUGGCAUGGCAGCCCCCAGCGCACCCGCCGGGUCUCUGCCACCCCCGCCGUUAGCUCGCCUGGAGGAUGACCCGUUGCGGCUGCCCGCAGCAGCCCUUGCUGCUACAGCCGCGGAUGCGGCUGCUGAGUGCGCGGCUACUGCCGCCGCAGCUAAAAUGCCUGGCGGCGCGAGCGGGCAGCCGGACAGGUCGAGGGCGGUGAGGUUGCGGCAACAGCCCUGUGUGGCAUAAGGACAGGAUCAUGACCAUUGUCCCGACGGAAAUCCAUACAGUUAGAAUGACAGGCUGAACACAACCGCUGGCAUAAUGCCAAGCUGCACCUAGGCCCCCAAUCAGCUGGAAUUGGAUGACACAACACCGCACACGCACACACUUCGCACGGACACGCAUGCUCUGUUGUUCUCUUGCCCUGUCUCUCCCGAACACGAACACCACCAAUCGGAUCCCCCACGCACCGCUCUCCCCAGCAGCCGCAGCUCUUGCAGACCCGCAGCCGCCGAGUGUGUGGCCACCAGAGUGUGCAGGUGCGGCAGCAGUACACUGCCGCCACCCUCGGGGGGCAUCUCCGCCGCCGCCAGGAGCGCCAAAGCAAGCGGCGAGCCUUCAUGGCUCCGAUGUGCAACCUGUACAGAGGGGCACGGGCCAAAGCCUCUUCAAGCCCUCCACCUGUACUGUACAAUUCCAUUGCCAGGUUUCAUCCUGGAAAGGCUUCAAUCUAGACCCUCCCAAAGACGGUGAUUCAAUGCUUUUUGACGCCGUGGAGCUGGUCAAGCGCAGCGGGCAAAGCUGAAACCGUAACCAAACCCAAUGCUGCGAGCGCGGCCGUGACCGCUCUAAUCACCUGCAGGAGGGCCGCUAGUGCCGCGCUGUCGCCGUCGGGCUCAGCGACGCCGUCACCAUGGUCACUGCCCCCCUCCCCCUCAAAGGCCGACGGCCACUGGUUCCCAACCGCCAACGCAGCUGUGGUCAGGGCUACACCCGUCGCCCUGCCGUACAGCCCAUGGUACGACAGAUCCACGUAGGUCGGCGCCACCGGCUCCAACUGACCCUGCUGCCGCUGGCGCCGCUGCGGGACCGCGGCCGCGCCGCGCGCGUGCUGCGCGAGGCGCGUGACGAAGGAAGCGAACAGCUGCACCGCCUGCCAUUGCGGAUGCGGAGAUGAGCGAGAGCCCGAUUUGAAGAGGAUUACCGCAGGGGCCGCAGAGGCAGCACAAAGUGUCUGUGGAUGGUCUGGGCCCUGGUCUGGGCCCAAAAGGAUCUGCCGUCUAGAGCUCCCGCACCAGACCCGAGUUCCAACUGCUGCUGGCGGCGCCUGCACGCUACGCUCAGUGCCCCUCCACCUGCGCCUGCACACCCACGCGCUCCCUGACACCAAACACCGACGCGCUCGCGCUCGGCCCGCCACACCCUCCAUACUAACCUCCCUCUGAUGCUCCUCCCGCCCGCCCCCCUUCGGCACGCCCUCACCUCUGCGCUGCAGGCUGGGCUGGUCGGGUGCGCCGGCAGGCACGCCGCCCCCGACCCCAACACCAGGCCACCACCUCCAUCCGCACCCGCACCAUCGCCAGCCACACCGUCACCUGGACAGCCGCCUCUCGCCUCCAACCCCACCCGGGCCCCGGCCCCCGGCCCCGCCCCCGCGCCCGCCUCCGCUCCUGACCCCGCAGCCCUGGUUCCAAGGGGCCGCAUGGGCCCCGACUGGCUCGCCGCCCCCGCGUCCGUGACCACGGAUUCUCCGAGCAGCGGGGGCACCAGCGGCGGCUGCAGCGCGGGCCGGUAGGUGGACGGCUGGGGCCAUGCGGCGGGGGCCAGAUGCGCGGCCGCGGGCAGCUCGGGUGCCAGCCACAGCGUGUGGGCGGCCGGCAGGUGCGUCACGUGCGUCACCGGCAGCCCCGGAACCUGCAGCGUGGCGUGGCGAGCGUGUGGGUGUCGGUGGUAGGCAGUUGCAGCGGUCGUCAUGCCAACCAGGGAUGGGGUGGGGCAGCGACCGUGCAGGUAGCGUGGCGGCGUGUAAACUGGGAUUGAUAUACCGUACGGGUUGUGACGACAGGGCUGCGGGCUGCUCGUACAGUCAGGAAGUACUCACCGGCCAAGUGCCGGGGUCGCCAUGCCUGCCCUUCCCACCGACGGAGGCCGGCGCUGCAGGGGCGGGAAGCGCAUGGUCGCGAUCGCCUGCGGCGGCGACCGCCACCGCCGUCGCCGCCGCCUCGCCGUCGCGCGGCGGAUGGUGGGCGGCCAGCACGGCAGCAUGGCUGUCAGCGAGCAUCGCCACCCGCCCAUCACUCAACAGCACCGCCGCUGCCGCCGCGGCUUCGGCAGGGGGCUGAAACAUGUGUCCGCGCUCGAGCCUGAGCCGCGCUGCGCCAGCACCGCAGCGUGCUGGCGAGGUCGGCUUGUGGCGGCUUGCGGCGGCGGCGGCGCCGCCAGCUGCGCUGGGCAAGGCGCUGGGCUGAGUGAAGGGCGUGUCAGGCCGAAGGCUGUGCGCCGGAUGAGGAUGGCAGGCCAGGGCCUGCGACGUGGGGUUUUGGGUCGGCUGUGGGGCGGUUGCGUGGAGCAAGGCACGCCAGUCGCCAUCGAUGACGGCUCGGUGGCGCUCCGCCCUCUGCCGCCAGGCCUCCAGCCCACCAAGCCCGGCGCCGGCGCCACCUGUGCAGCCAGAGUUCAGCGAGCGUUGUGUGUUUAUGCAGGCCAGGCGUCACAGUUGGAUUUAUGAGCAACGCGCAUGUGGGUCGGGUGCAGGAAGCCACGGCGCCGCCCAGCCCGCCCUAAGAGGCGGCCGCGUACCUUGACACGACAGGCGGCCGUGUGUUUAGGGAGAGCCCGGGUCACAGCAACGACUGAGCCGGCCGCGAAGCGGGACUUGCCUGUUGUAUCCGUUACCAGAAAUAGUAGCGUGUGGCAUGUGGCUGCCACCGCGGCCUUAUCCAAGGGCCGCAGGCGGCGCAGCACAUCGGCGAGUAUGGCUGUAGGGAGGUCGCAAAAGGACCGCGCCAGCACGCCAGCAGCCUCCGGCACGCACUUACCAUCUUCAGGCAGCAUGGCUGUUAAAGCUGUUGCUAUAGCAUAAUUAUAUCCGCAUCAUCGUUCGGCAACCGGGAGUGCCCCUUCACGCCUAAGACGCGCAAACUCGAAACCUCGCCAACUGCGCCCGCGAGGUGGACGUGAGCUACGCAUGUGAAGUUGAUGAAAUUAAAUGAUCUACGAGUGCAGCUGGCGCUGGAAGGGUCGGUAGGAAUGCUUGAUGGGGCUGGCGCGGGUUCUCAUCCAUCGCGGUUCUCCUUCUAUUAAUCGAGUCCGCCCGGCUCCCAAAGCAUUUGCUUUCGACACACCAACACCACAACUGUCACGACCAAACUACGUACUACCUCAAUUACAUAUCAAACCCCGCGGCGUGCUACCUCCUUGCAUUCGCCUCUCAGAGUUUCCCUGCUCCCGCCAGCGCUACCAGGCCUGGAUUUUGAUCCUUUGGAAGGAUGGAGACGCUGUGGCCGGCUCCAUACGCCCUACCGUAAGUAGGAACGCAGAAGAAGCCGAGGAGACACGCAGUUGGGCCGCGCGAAAGUCGGUUGAAACGCAGCUCAAGCUGCAUUGAUAGAAAGUAAUUUGUGCUGCAAACUGCGUUCGGAUUUGGUGGGAAGGCAGUCGGGCGUUGUCGGGGAGAACGCGGCAAAACUCUGCAGACGCGGCCAAGCCUUUGCGUGCUGCGCCCUAGUCCAGGUUCCUGUCUGAUAUCACGGCGUAUUGAUUGGGCCGGUCAGAUAGACAUAAUUGCGCCUGGCGUGCGCCGAGCGGGCAGUUGACGCGCGACUGCUUUUAUGCGCAGGCUCCAGUCUGCGGCGAUGGCGCUGUCCGAACAGCAGCUUGGCCAACACAUUGAUUCUGGCAGCGAGGAGGACCACAUCGCGGUCGUGGCGCAGGUCCAGACUGGCAAGAAGCGACGCAGUGUGAGCGCGGAAGAGGACCCAGACUAUGAGGACGCCGCGCAAGGCGCGCAAGGCAUAACGCAUGAUGGUAAGCAAUUCGGGGAGGGCCUGGACAGAUUCUUGGUGCUGGACCCUGCUCGCCAUUCAAAUGCUCGAGGGCAGCUCGAGUUUCCUUCCAGCUCUGACUCCCAAGGCGAUGCUUAGAAGCGGUUCAAAUCCUCUUUUUCUAUCUAAGGAAAUCGCGUUGGGAUCGUUUUAGGUCCUGUCAGGCGCAGCCCUGUCAGCUCCGACUGGGCACGCCACCGCCACCUGGCACGAACCACCCGGUUUCAUUUUACCCCCGCCCCACUCUGGCUGUCCGCUUGCCAACGCAUUCAGCCAUAUGCCAGUUUUGACCACUAACACGAUGCUCUCUUCUCUUUCUUUUGCAUUGUGGUGGCUACUCGUCUGUAGGUACAUCAAACAAGGCCGGCUACCGAGGCGUACGGCGCCGGCCAUGGGGCUCCUACGCCGCCGAGAUUCGGGACGCAGGCUGCGGCAAGCGCCGGUGAGCAUUUGCUCCUUGACAUGUAUGGAACAUGUCCUACUCGUUUCGCCAUGCGGUAUGCUUGUACGGGGAUUGUCCUGGCCUGUCUGGCCCUAAGCCACCUGCCUCCUGAGCCAGCGGCCUCGAAGCCUGUCGAGGAAUCUUGUGGGAACUUUGGCUACAGGUGGAUUGGCACGUUCAAGACUGCUGAGGAGGCUGCACGGGCGUACGAUGAGGCCGCCAUUGCGCUGCAUGGGCCUCGCGCCAAGGUGAGACGCGCUCGAAUGCACAGUUUCGCUUGUCUUGAUCUGGGUCGGAUGACUUGCACGUCGCCCUGAUAUUGCUUGCACCCACCGUAACUGUGCGAUUCAAGCCAAGUCCGCGCGUCAGUUAUGCCAGCUAUCCGAUCACAGCGUGCCCGCCUGCGAGCCCCCGCGUCAACCUUCAGGCCGCUGACGCAACCCCGCUGCGCCCCCUUUGCAGACCAACUUCACCUACCCCUGCCAGCAGCAGAGCGCCGCCGCCGCGCCAGCCGCCGCACACAAGGCCCACAAGCCGCACGCCGCCGCCGCGCCGCAGCACCACAAGCCGGCGCACCACAGCCAGCAACCUGCUCAGCCGCGCAAGCAGCCGCUGCACCCCCGGCAGCCGUACCAGCAGCACCAGCCCCCCCAGCUGCCGACGCAUCAGGAGGAGGAGCAGUACCGGCGCAAGUCGGACGACUCAGACACCUCUAUGACCGCUGCGCUGCCGCUGCCGCUGUCGCUGACGGGGCAGCUGGGCCUGCCGCCGCUGACGCUGCCGGGGCUUGAGGGUCUGGACCUGAUGGCGCUGCAGUCCAACCCCGCGCUGCUAGCCGCGCUGCUCGCCGCCACGCGGCAGCACCUCCCGGGGUUGGCCGGGCCGGAUGCGCAGCCCGCCUGCCUGCCGGAGCAGCAGCUGUCGGAGCGGGUCUGGGUCCAGGAGCAGCCGGUGCAGGGGUGCGAGGAGGAGGAGGACGGGUUGGAGGAGCCGGAGCCGCCGCAGGUGCUGCGGCCGGAGCAGCUUCGGUCGCUGCAGGUGCUGGCGGAGGUGGCGCACCUGUUCGGGCGCCGCGACUUCUGCAUGUCGUGACCUUCGCCGGCGUGCCAGGUUCGGCAGGGCGUUAGGUAGGCAGCCGUGCAGGCUCAGCCGGGGUGACGUGGGCGAAGAAGAUGGCAAAGUGAUCUGGGUCUAUGUGGUGGGGGCUUGGGCAGUCAUUCGCAGGCCCCCAAAUAGGUUGGGAAUGGGUUGCCAAGGUACUUUUCCCGUGGGGCAGCAGCUUGGUAGGCAGACCGCGGGUGGGUGCAGGCGGCGCGGCUCUGCAGUGCUGUGCCGGGCUCCCGGAGCACGCUCCAUUCUGCGCCAUGUGAGUCAUGUGCGUGGGACGCCAGCGUAGCAGUCUUACGGUGCGCCUCAGCUGUUUCCUGUGUUUGUCGACAGCCUGGCGUCGAUUGUACUUUUCGGCUGUGCCACGGCGAGGCGGUGACUGCGCACAGACGAAGAACAAGGGGCGAGGGAUGAGACGACGACAGGACUGAGUGUGUUGGGCAUGGACUUCGUGCGGGAUGAACUUAUCAGGGGCAGUAGCCCAUGUUGGUGGGCACAUGUUUGGUGCGGUACCAAUCAUGCAUAGAUGCAUAACAUGAGGCUACCACAGACACGACCGCAGGUGGACGGCUGCAUGUCCGAUUAUUUUGGUUUCGAAGCCGAAGCUGUGUGUGGUGCGUUUUGAGUGGAUGACAACGCACGCGAUAGCGUGCCGGUGAUUCUUGCCGCUACAUGGCGCAGGCGCUGUGCAAUCGGUACAUGGUGAGGCACGCUCCCGACUCAUGGGAGCUGAGAUGGGGACUGAUGGUGUUAAGGCCUUUAUACAUAUUCUACGGCAGCACAACGUCAUCAGGAUUAAGGCGAAUCCAAUGUGUGGCUGCAAGCGGCUCUUGACCACGCAAGCCACAGCCAACGAUUGACGCUUCAUAAGGAGUGUGUAUGGGUACCGCAUGUGGAUGAUAAUCCUACCGAGAGGGACUGUGGUGGUGUCUGACACCUUCGCAAGACGGGCGUAUGCGUGAGAAAGUGAGGGUGCAAUUAGUGAUGCCAGUGAGGUUACAGGUGGCACGCGCCAUAUUCGUUUCCGCCAACUUGAAAGACGUUGGGAGGCGAGGAGAGACAGGACAAAGCUUAGGCGACUAGAUAUACUGCCAACGGCAUUGCAUGGUCGGGCUCAAUUUCCCCUGCCACAAUAAUUCGUGUAUCUAGCACGCACGUGAGCAUGGCAUCGUCAAUGCAAUGUGCGGCUGAGGUUGCCUGCAGGCGGGUGAAUGGGCUGUGAUUACUUUUGUUUGGACUCCCCUGUACGCCCGCCGAGCUCAGGCCUAGCUCUUUCAUUUUUCUUUCUUUGGGGGUCCAUGCGUUGCUUGGGGCCUGAACGGUAUGGGCCCCGAAGUGGGCGUAGAGCCACUGGGGCGGGUAAAAGACCCCCGACAGCAACACGGUACAAUUCAUCCCUGUGCAAGGGGCAACACGGUGUAACACAGCUGCCCACCUCGACUGCUCUCAUGAACCCGACCCCCUGACCCCAACCACAGCACAGCUGCUCCCUGGUUCGAAUACAUGUCUGCGGCCAUUUCAUCUUCUCCUACUCUCCUAGUCUCGGGGUUAACCAAUGGCCUCGCCCCCCCCCCUCCCGGGCGCCGCGACCCACCGUCCAGUGACUUACGGUUAGACGCUUUAUGUCGGUGGCAGGUGUAUGGGUGCUUCGGGGCAAUCAGCCGAUGAAGCAGCCUCCCCUCGGUUGCGGACUUGAAAUCCGGACGGCGUGUGCCAUAUGCACCGCCGCCCUGCUGCAGAGUGGCUGCGCCGGGCGCCCGCCUGCGUCCUCCUCCUUCACCUCCCCCGCCGCGCACAGCAGCUGCAGUCCGAUUGCGCGGCUUGCAUCAUUGCAUGUUUGCUGAGGGUACCUGUAUGCGGCAUGCAGCAUGCCUGACUGGGCGCUCUAUGCAUGCGACAUUACAAGAAAGGACAGUCCGACCAAGCAUGGGUGCCCAGCACCCAGGUCAGGAGGGAACCAUCUCCGGCCCGAAGGGAAACCGCCCUCCCCCCAGCUGGCUGCCGACCUUCACCAAACCGUGCAUUGUUUCUGCGCAAAAAGCGUGUCUCAGCUGCUACACCGGCAUACGGUAAGUCGAAGUCGCCCUAUGCUGUCAAGGGACAAGAAAAGGUGGCUCUCCCUCGCAAGGGAAAAGUGGGCUGCGCCAAAGGGGGAAUGGUAGAAGCUCAGGAUCUUGCCCCAUGCAUUAGAUAAGAGAGCGUUAGGGGAGCAUCACGCACGUACUUAUGGUUCUUCGGGGGUGGUCUGGUGAGCAAGUUCUGGGCCGUCAAAGUUGGGAGGUCAGUCGUGAUCGGGUUUCAGGAGCCCAUCCUGGCGGAUUUUGAGAAGCGCCCCACAACCAGGGGAUCUAGGCAUUUCAAUAACCAGAGCUAGGGGCCGAUCGCAGCACCGUGUGGCUCAAUUAUGCAUGUUACGAUGUGCACAAACAAAGCGUGGGAGGUCCAUUUGCGCGUCCUGGCGUGGACAAGUCGGGACAUGUCCGCACAUGCGACGCCUGCACGCUGACAUGGCUGGGCUCUCAAGCUCCAGUGCACAUGAAUUUAUUUCAGCUGCCGGCGCACGCUAUCGAUACGUCACAUGACAAAGCGUGGAGCGGGGUGGGUCGUAGGGAUUUCCAUGAAUGCAUCUUCGAAUGCAGAGCAGGACUCGUCAAGGAAAGUCGAUUGGGACCACUUUGGAUGGGUUGAAGGGUUUAAGGGUUUAACCCCUACACGAUAAGUCUGUGUCCGUGAGCAUGAGCAUUUACAUGGCGUCGAAGUCCAUGUGGCCCCACUAACUCUUCUGAGUCCGGAGGCGCUUGAUAGCAAAAAGCAAAGUGUCUUCUAAAGCGUCUAUACGCUGUUUACGCGCCUGAGCACGUAAUGCCCGCUCCACCUUUCCAUCGGGGUCGGAGCCCCUUCUCACGAAGAUCCUCAAAAGCCUUCAGUUGCUCCUUGCGCAUCUCACACCCUACCCGGGUCAGAUACGGUGCGACAACGGCACCAGCCGCACGGACCUGCUGCGCCACCCGAAUGAGCGCGCUCCGCUCCUGCUGUGUCACCUCCACCACGACAUGCCACACCUCCCUACCCUUUGACCGCCACGCGCGCACGUAUCGUCCGGAGACGUUUGCGCCACUCGCACUGGCCACCGCCUCCAGAUUUCCAGCCGCCUUGAGUUUCUCGAGCAGCUCACGGCUAACCGACUUCAGCAGGACUUUACCCUCGUCGACCCCCCCGGAGCACCCUGCUCGGGCCAGGGCGCGCUGAGUGUCCUCUAGCGCGCAACGUUGCUCCUCCAUCUGGACUUGCAGCGCUGCGACCGUGCCUUGCAGCUCCUUCUGCCGCCGUUCAGCUGCAAGCGCAGCGCCCUGGGCCUCUGAGACAGAGGCGUGGAGCGCCAGCGCUUGUAGCUGCAGCUGCUGUAUGCUGUCGCCGUGCUGCGUGGCUGCUGAUGUUUGCUGCUCUAGCUGCCCAAGUGCCUCCUCCAAGGCCGCUAGGUACUCCUGGAUGGUCGCGAGCGCUGGUGUUGUGGCGAGAUCGAACAGGCGGGUCGUGUAAGACAGGCGCGUGAGACGCUGCAGCAGUUUCGUAGCGCGCUGAAAUGGGAAGGCCGCGCCAGAGUCCGGAGUGCCGAUGCUCAUCGCACUAGUGCUGGCAACCGGGCAGGAGUCCUGCUGGUCGCUGACACUACUGAAGCUCCCAAAGCUUUCCAAACGGCACCCAGGCCCACUGCUCGCCGUGCUCGGCGGCAGCUCGGGCUGGGGCGACGAUCGGGCUGAGGUUCCUGCGAAAGCGGCGGCCACCGCCCUGUCGGUAGCUUCACGCAUUUUUGCCUGAAAUGUUUCGUAGAAAUUGUGCUCGGCCAUGUUUUGUUAUCUCGUGUCGUGUUUGGUCAGGUGGCCACUUUGAGUCGUUGUGUUGUGUUGUGUUGUGUUGUGUUGUGUUGUGUUGUGUCCUGGGGGUGGUCCAGAUUGGUCGUACCCGAAUUCGGGUCUGGCACUAUCUUUCUUCAAUCCCCCCCCUGGCGCCCAAGCCAUGUUGGUGCAUGCCUCUUCAUCUCUUUCACAAGCAUAUAGUGACAUCUGCUUCCAUGCCGUGACAAUCUGGUCCGCUUCAGUCGAUGCACCCCGUCAGCGUCACCGCGGUCACUCCGGUACGCCAACACGUAGAAAUUCUGCCGCAGGUGUCGUGCAACACAGAAGCUGUCUGCACUACUGGGAUUCUGGGCGCGGUGGCAACUGCUGUGUUUCCCAGGGCUUUUUUGCUUCUUGGCCGCUGGCCCCUUCCCCAACGCAACUUAGCUGUGCACAGUACAAAAGCCGCCCACCCCCUGAUACGGAGCGACACGUGCCUCCCGAAACGCCAGUUACAGGGAAUGUUCCCGUAACGUAUAAUCCACUCGGUCCGCUUUUUCAGGCACGCAAGGAGUCGACACGCGGCUGUGCAGCCCGAAACAGCGCUUUUUGCACUCUUGCAAGCUCACAUGCGCCAUCUGCCUGUGCAUCGUUCAUUCUUUCUACAUCAUCUUCCGAAUCUGCUCUCCUGCAUGUCUCGUCUAUGACCUAACAGGCAUCCCGCGAGUCUCUGCAUUGGCGGCUACCACACGACAUACCCGCAUCAACACAACCAUCAACGGUUUGCAAGUAUUGCAACGUUUUAAAGCAAACAAUCAAGUCAUAGACGUCAAGAAGGUGUGCAUUCCAUCUGAAUGCAACACCUAGAAGUUCCAAGAGAGAGGGACGGGCAGUGACGCCCAUCGUAUUGUAUGUCCGCCCGCUCCUAGCCCGCUAACAAUGUACAUGGGAUCAUCUUGUAAUGAUCGACGGUCAAGCUGCUGCUUGUCCUGCCGCUUACGGCUGGGCAGCGGCGAACAGAGGGCAGCUGCAAAGCAGAAUGAAAAAUGGAGGGACAAGAUCAGAACCACAACCGAAGGCGUGUCGAGGGGGGGCACGGCGCAACCCAUAGCUAGCCAUUUCUACAUGCCAUGCCAACCCCAUAGCAGCACACAGUACUGCUUUUUAGACAUUAGGACAAGCAAACCUCAAGCAGUCACAUCCCAACUCACCAGUUCUUCGUGUCGUCAAACACGUUGCCCCAGCACACGCCAUCGUUGGCAGGCAGGCAGAAGUCCGACAGGGGGGUGUCGUUCUUCAGCUCCAGGCAGAUCUUGCCGCCAUUCGCCUGGUCCUUGCUCCAGUUCAGGGGGGUAGCCUUAACGGUCUGCUCGUCCACAGCGCCCCAGGUGGCGGACAGCCACUUGCCGGUGCCGGUCUUGGGCUGCACGUACACGCCGGUGAUGGCGCGGCGCUUCUUGUCGUCGGCGUAGAACUCGGCCUUGAGCAGGCUGGUGCUCCGGCCGCAGGGGCUGGUGGCGCUGUUGGGGGUCACCAGGGUGAUGCUGAAGCAGUAAGCAGUGGUGUCCUUGGUGCGGCCGGCCAUGCUCGACAUCGCGGGCGCAAUGGCGAAGGGGGUGGCGCCGGGAGUGGUGACGCACUGGCACUUGGGGAAGUCGGGGGUCUGCAGGGCGCAGGCGGCCGAGGCCUGGGCGUUGAUGCACGACUGGGGCAGGCCGGCGACGGCGUCGCCCAUGCCGCCAACAGAGACGACCACGGUGUAUCCGGCCAGGGCGGGGCGGCAGCCCUGAGUCACCAUGUCCAGCCAGAAGUUGAUCUGGGUGUCAACGAAGCUCUGCAGCUUGGCGCCCUCCUCGUUGGAGAAGAAGGUGGCGCACACCAUCACCAGGUUGCCGGCGCAGCUGGUGGACCCAGGGGUCACGGUCACGCCGAGGUCGGAGGCCUGGGUGGCCACGUCGUCCUGAAUGGUGGCGAUGUAGCCCUGGCACUCGUCGUUGCUGAUGGAGUAGGGGAACAGAACGCGGCUGGCGUCGCUAACGGUCAGCGAGAUGUAGACGCAAACCUGGCAAGGAGGAGGGGGGCUGGGGGGAGGAGGGCUCGGGAUGCCGGGCGUGGAGAUAGGGCAGCAGUCGUUCUGGCUGUCGAACAGCGCAGCCGAGCACACACCCUUGGGCAGGCCAGGGGGAGGAAUGCACAGCUCCUCAAGGGUGGUGCAGCCCUUGCCGUUCUUGUUCAUCGACAGGGUGAUGCAAAUCUCAGCACCGUCGCUGGCCAGGCCCAGGCCCAGCUGGGUCAGGACCAGGGUGGUCGAGCCAACGGGGCCAUCGGUGGGCUCGUGGAACGAGACACCGACCUUGGUGGGCACGCCGUUGAUGGUGGCCUUCACCACCUCGCCGAAGACGUCGCACGCCUCGUAGACGUUGAACUGUGUACAUCAAAAUGAGGAACAAACUCAGAGAACUUCUUGAAAAAAGAACUCACACUGUGGGUUGCUGGCUGCUGCGACUUUGAAACCGCGACCCGAUGCGCCGACAACCCACCUCGAUCUUCUUGAGGUCUGCCUUGGAGCAGCAGUAAUCGGUGCAGCCAGCCGGCACCUUGGCGCUCAGCUUGAAGCAGUACUGGUUGUUGCCCUUGGCAACGACAACAUCACCCAGCUUGUAGGCCGAGGGAGACUUCUUGCACUGGCAGUAAGGGAACGAGGUGUACAAGCCCGACUGAGCACCCUGGGCGGCCCUGCAGAUUCAGAACGAAGGGCACACGCGGCACGGAGUUACUGCCAGCGGAGCAAGCGGAGUCUCGGCGACGGGAUAGCCUGCUUGCAACUUGCUGUCAAAUCCGGUGGUGGCGCUACGAUCACUGUUACGCUAUGCUGAAAUCAUGAAAAUAGCCCGAGCAUGCUGUAAGAGCGCCGGUUGCAAGAAGGCCGACCGCAUUCAAGCUGCGCAGCGGACCCACACGACCACUAUUUACGCCGUGAGCGUAAAUGAUUAUCUUUGACUAGAGUCAGCGAUGCUCGUCUAUUCUACAACUCAGGAGCUUCCCGAAGCGACAAAUCUGUGAAACGCGCGGUCUUGCUACUCACGCAAUUGCGGCCGCGAAAAGAACGGAGACUAGAAUGCUGCACCUCAUUGUCACAGAGGUGGUUCAGCUAUAAAGAAAUUGUGAGGCACGCGGGCUUAUCAUGGGGGGCCCGGCUGGUCGAACGAGUCGUACGCCCGCCAUUAACCGCGGGCGCGUUAGUUUGGCGUGCGAUGCAAUCAUUCAUGCAACCGCGCCACUUCGACAGUGCCGGAAACAACUUUUAUUUUUGUGGGUAUGCAUCCGGCUAUUCGGUAGGACAGCAGCUGCGUUACGCUCAAACUCGGGCAAACAAUUGGGCUAGCGGCGUGAGCUUGCACCUCACAACUAUCAUCACACAAGUUAUUUAGAUACUGGCCUACCUUGGGCCAUCUCCAAAACUGCCUGUCCAGCCCGGGAGCGGCGGAGCUGUUUCGCCCGCGGUUUGGAGUGGCUUUACUCGUGCCGACGCAAGUCCUUGAUUUUUGCAUUAUAAAAAAAUUAUAGAGUACAGCUAUAGCAACCAACUUGGCAAUGGAGCUGCUGGCAUGGUCCAAACGCGGGAAGCUGGCGCCUUCUAGGCUCUUUGGAGCCCUGUCGGCUUCACAAGUGGCUGAUGCUCAAGUUGUGCAUCGCUUUGGCCGGACAAAUGUCUCCUAGUAACCCGGUUCACAAGCGAAGCGUGAAACGAAAGCAAAGGAUGCUGCGCGCCGGAAGCGAAACGUUCGAUGCACCUAAUUGGGCGCCAAGCGCGGAACCUUGCAGUCUCAGAUGCGUGUGUGCAUGGAAGGAGAAGGCUGGCGGAGGCGAGAGGAGCGGGGGCAGGGAUUGGCUUUCGUGGGGGGGGCGGGGCAAGUGGCGCGGGCGGGGCUGGGGGGGCGAAGAACGGUGAAGACCGGUGCGAUGGCACAGGGUAAGGGGCAGGUUGGCGUAGUCCCGAGUCCCGAGAAACAACUUACGCCCAACCCAGGCGCCAAUGAAACAGGUGAAGAGCUUGAGGACCCCCCUCCCGCUGUCCGGGCCUUACACACAAGCAGGCCAAGUGCGGGGGGAGCCGUAGCGCACACCAUAUACCGUACUGUCACUGUGCUCGAUUUCGUCGCUAGUGACGCCCCUGCUGGCUAGGGUAGCAAGGGUAAUGGGGGUGAACGAGCCGGUUGCUUAGGCUGUGCCAGCUUUCCCCGGGUUUCAUUGGGGUCACACACUUCACUGAUGCACAACUUUCAGAGCCAGGGGGCUGCAUCCUCCGGCAAGCAGACGCCAGGAGGGUGUCCCUGGCCGCAUGCGCUGGGUCCUGGAGUCUACGGUACGCGUUGCCGCACGCGUCGGUUGGCCAUCCAUUCCCCAUCCUUAGACACAAUGACUGUGUCAUGUGUGCACGUUGCGCUUUAGGCUCGGCCAGCGGCACCCUGGGUUGGGUGUGUGAUGGGUUGGGUCUCGGUUUGAGAGGUGUGACCCUUGCAGAAAGCAGGACUCUCCACACUCCCCUCCCGUGCUGUGCAUGUAUGUUCCUGCAUGCACGUGUGUGUAUGAAGUGAAUGGCUCAGCCAACGGCUGUGUGUGCAUGUGGCCCGCGUAAAAUGCAAUUUACCAGUGAUGGGCACUUCUAUCAGGGAGGGGUAGGAAACAAAGUGCCAGACCCCAUGCCCCGAAAUCCCCCGGGACCCCCCUUGAGGGGACGACCGACCCCCCGACGGACAAAACCUUGUUGUUCAGCGGUUAAAACCCCUCCAUUUAAUACCAAAGUAGUGUCAAUCGACUCCUCUUGACGAGCACUAUCACUCCGUGCCAUCAGCGGUCCUGUUCUGAGACUUCGGUCACGGGCGGGAUCCUAUCCAUGGAAAUCCCCUCGACCCAGACCACCCCGCGCUCAACUCUUUGCCGCGUGACGAAUGGACAAUGUGCAUCGGCAGCCUUGUUAGACGUGAACUCAUGCGCAUCAGCGCUUCAGAGCCCAGCUGUGUCAGUGCGCAUAUGUUGAAUGUGGAGACAUGUCCCGACAUGUCCACGUCCGGACGCGCAACUUAGCCCUCCCACGCUUUGUUUGUGCUUAUUACGUCAUAACGUACACAUAUGAGCCUCGCACUGCUGCGUUUGGCCCCUAGUUCUGCUUGUGGGGCGCUUCCCGAAAUCCGCCAGGAUGGGCUCCCGAAACCCGACGGACCCCCAGGGACGAGGACCGACCCCCAACUUUGGCGGCCCAGAACUUCCUCACCAGACCCCCCUUUAAAAAACUAAAAGUACGUGCAUAAUGCUCUCCUGAAGCUCUCUAAUAUUGAGCAUGGGGUAAGAACCUGAGCUUUCUAACCCCCCCCUGCCAUGGCGGCCACAAUGCCAAGAUGCUACCUGGCGGCGCCACGCACAGCAGAGCCCUGUGCUCCGCAAGGAUGCACACGUGCACACACGCACACACAUGUGCGAACACACGUGCACCUGCCCUCCAUGCCACUCGCCCCGCCCCUUCCCCCUUCCCUCACCUCAGUUAUGGCUGACUGGAUGCGGUUGAUCUCAAACAGCCGGCUGCGCCCCUCCUGGGAGCCGCCGCCGCCGCCGCCAGACAGGAGGUCUGGAGUGCGUGUGAGGAAGGGGAGGGGGGGGAUGUGCCCGAGCCCGAGGUCUCAAGCGUCAAGGAAUUGUUUCCAAACCAGGGGGAGGAAGCGGUAGGGGGGCGCGAAGUGUGAUGUUUGUCGGGGUAAGGUGUGAGGCAUUGGGCAUGGAGCGUAAGGCGGGCAUCAAGGCGGGUAGGGUGUCGGCCUGUGCGCUGUCACCCAAGCCACGGGCGCACCGUUAGCACGCACGCACGCGCACACGCUCACACUACGCACCUGCGGCCGCCUCCUGCCCCUUGCUGGUGGCGCCGCUCCCGCCGCCGCCCCCACCUGCACCCCCAGCAGCCGCCCCGCCCGGCACCGGAGCGCUCACCACCACCUGCGCCUCCGCCGCACCCUCCACCGCUGACUCUGCUCCUGCUCCCCCUCCUGCUGCGGAUGCUUCCGCUGGUAGCUGCACCACUGGCGUGUGCCGUGGAUGCGGUGGGUGCGGCGCCGCCAAGCCAGUCACCGCCGCCACCACCGGCGCCAGCGCCGCCGCCACGGCAGCCGCCGGCUCCCCUCCCGAAAUCCGCCAGACACCCCCUUAAAAAGUUAAAAGUACGUGCAUAAUGCUCUCCUAAAGCUCUGUAAUUUUGAGCAUGGGGUAAGAAACUGAGCUUUCUACCCCCCCCCUGCUUCUAUCAACCGGUUGUGCUUUCGGGGUUACAUGGAAGAGAUUAGGCUGGUGGGGCACAGUGGUGCACGGUGACAGAGACAGCCUUUCUUCCCUGUCUGGGUCAGGGGACAGGUUGUGCCGCCCUCGAGUCCGAAUCAAAUCGUUCUUUGCAGCAUCCCUCUUCAGGAUGCUGAGUGGAGUUGGUGUCGGUAGUAAAGGCCAAGCCCAACGCCCAUUGCGGCAGGGCCCAGGUGUGGGCGGAACGCCCGCCAAGAUGAGACACGAUGAGAGGCACGGCCGAUCGCGCCGAGUUAAGCCAUCACCACGCCCAGUGUUCCGGCCGGUUGUAACAGAUCAACUGUUACGAUCCCUGUUCGAGACAGGGCUGGGCCCUAACUUAUGCCUCUUACGAGUCUUCUAGUGAAUACGCGGUCACCCAAGUCUCAUCCGUUGGACAUCUCCAACCCCUUGCCAGGCUCUACAGUGAGUUAUGUCCGGGGUGGGCUAGGUACUGCUACCCCAGGGGAGAGCCUUCCCUGGCAGAGCCCAGGCCCUGCCGUAUUCCUUACCGGGUCGCACACCCACCGAAGUACCGAACCACGCGUCACGGUCUGGGAAUCAGCUGCACCCUACGGGACUUCACCAACCUGCCUUAACACUGUCCCAUACCACGCGUUACGUUUCUCCACGAUCCGCGGAACGGCGGAAACACGUAUUGACAUGUGUACACCCGCAAGGAGACCGCGGGUGGGUGAGAAUACUGCGCCUGCGCCUGAGAGCCCCGGGGCAAGCUGUCUCAUCCCCGAACGUAGAACUCAUAGAGUGCAGUCUGUGCAAAAGGGAAAGCGAGAUGCAAAGGACGAAGCAGGAGUCGUGUGACGCGUUAGCGUGGAUAAACGCCUGGCGGAUGAGAUCGGACAUGGCAACUUGGAAAUGGGCAGGUUGGUGUUAGUCCUGUGGACCUGAUAUACCCGAGCCGGUUGAGGGCCUCAUGUGCAAAACCGCCAGCGCCGGUCUGCUGGCCUUAUCUGGGUACACGCAGUACCGGUGCGGUAGCUGACGAUGCCAGCGUUAUUGACGAGUGUUGCGGAACUAAUGCGUACGUAGACCAGAGCGGAAGGCGGAGUGGGCUUGCAGGCGGCACGAGAGUAGGCAGUCAGUAGCGCAAGUUGCGAAUUCACAUGUUACCUCGUAACCGACGGUAAACGCUGCGGACGGUCGCGCCCAUGGCUGGCUGACGGAAGGUGGCUGCUGUAUUGGGAUGGCUGGGCUGGACGACGCCGGCCGGGCUGGCGUGCACGAUGUGCACAAACCGUUCCGCCUGCAGAUUGCAGAAAGCCCUGACGCCAGCUGCGCAUCCUGACGGAUGACACGUUGGGGGCUGUCACUCAGCUGCUGACUCGGGACCACCGUGCUGUCCCCUGCCGCAGUUACCGCCGCAGCCUGGCUGGCAUUCAACUUAUGUUGAAAAUUAUAUCAAUAUGACGCGUUCGUACUGUGCCCCCAAACCGGUUUACAGGGGCAACAGGCAAUAGCCCUGCGCACAAACUCCUGCUUCUCACCAGAGCUUUCGCCGUUAUGCACGGCCACGGGAACAAUGGUCCCGGCCAACCACAUCUAUGAACCGUGUCCGUUAGCCUCUCCUGAGGCUUGUAACCGGAACGCGGCUCCGCUGAUUGCAGUCCCAGGAUGACGCUAACCUAAGCAAACAGUCAAUGCGCAUGAUCAUUUACACACACGAGUGCUCUUAUGUACUGCCCAUAUUAAACACAGUCGAGUUGUGGAUCAGUUGCACGAUUCACCGCGCCAGCCCUCGCGGCGGUGCUUCACGCAAUCCGCAUUCAGCUGGUGGCGAGUCGCCAAGCCGCCCCCAACAAAACCCGCACCGCACCAAGUGCCAUGCCGUUUAGACACACGCGCACAACACUAAUCCUGCGAGGCAGUGAUCUCAUCUGUCACUUUGUCAACUACCCAAUCAAGCCAUUUUUCCGAACCCAAUUCAAAACACGCGCCCACGGGCGAAGCUGUGCGCCGUGGCUGUAGCGGCUGCUGCCUCUGCUGCCAACGCCUCACAAAAUCCACCCGUGGCCGUCUGCCACAUAAGCUCCAGCGGUCACCAGCUAUGCUCCGUGCCAGCUCGCGAUAUUGCCAGGCCGUGUGGCCGCAGCAGCUGUUUGCACAGCUGCCGCGAAGCAAGUCCGCUGCCACAAGAACUCAAACAGGGUGGGUCAGCCGCGCGGCUUCCAAGCGGCUUCCACCUUGUGUGUAUGGACACGCGACGCCUCGGCUGCUGCGGGCUGUGCCAUUUACGGCAGGCUCGCCUGGUACAGCGGGCAGCUGCGGGCAAGACACGGGAGGGGUGAGGAAUGGCGGUCAGAUACGUGACAACGUCGAGGCAGAUGUCCGCGGGGAAGUCCGUGGGCGAAGCCUAUUGAUUUAGAUCCCGCAAGACAACCCACAUUGGCAAGUACGUUGUUGCGAGCGUGUCAAUGCAAACCCAACUCACCAGUUCUUGCUGUCGUCGAACAAGUUGCCGUAGCACGAGCCGCCGGGCGCGGGCAGGCAGAAGUCCGACAGGGGGGUGUCGUUCUUCAGCUCCAGGCAGAUAGUACCGCCAUUCGCCUGGUCCUUGCUCCAGUUCAGGGGGGUAGCCUUGACGGUCUGCUCGUCCACAGCGCCCCAGGUGGCGGACAGCCACUUGCCGGUGCCGGUCUUGGGCUGCACGUACACGCCGGUGAUGGCGCGGCGCUUCUUGUCGUCGGCGUAGAACUCGGCCUUGAGCAGGCUGGUGCUCCGGCCGCAGGGGCUGGUGGCGCUGUUGGGGGUCACAAGGGUGAUGCUGAAGCAGUAAGAGGUGGUGUCCUUGGUGCGGCCGGCCAUAGUGGAAAUGACGGGCGUGAAGGCGAAGGGGGUGGCGCCGGGCGUGGUGACGCAAGCGCACUUGGGGAAGUCCACAGGCUCGGGGGCGCAGGCCUGGGACUGGAAGCCGCUCAGGCAAGACGCAUCCGGGGCCUGUGCGGAGCCGCCGAUGCCGCCGACGGCGGCGUAAGCGCUGUAGCCAGUCAGGAAGGCGGGGCAGCCCUGGACGCCGGUGAUCAGCUGCAGCCAGAAGGGCAGGCGCUCAUCGAUGAAGGGCUGCAGCUCGGCGCCCUGCUCCGAUGAGAAGAAGGUGGCGCACAGCUUGAUCACGUCGCCAGAGCAAACAGCCGGGGCGAAGUUGAUCGCGACGCCCAGGUUCUCGGCCUCGGUCUGGAGCUCGUCGCCGAUCAUAGCAGCGUAGUCGUCGCAGUCCUGCUGGGAGAACUCGUAAGGGAAGACAACGUUGCCGGUCUCAAGGAUGGAGAGGUACACGCAAGCCGUGCAGGGAGGAGGAGGAGACGGAGGAGGCGGGCUGGGGGGAGGAGGGCUCGGGAUGCCGGGCGUGGAGAUAGGGCAGCAGUCGUUCUGGCUGUCGAACAGCGCAGCCGAGCACACACCCUUGGGCAGGCCAGGGGGAGGAAUGCACAGCUCCUCAAGGGAGGUGCAGCCCUUGCCGUUCUUGUUCAGCGACAGGGUGAUGCAAAUCUCAGCACCGUCGCUGGCCAGGCCCAGGCCCAGCUGGGUCAGCACCAGAGUGGUGGAGCCGACGGGGCCAUCGAUGGGCUCGUGGAACGAGACACCAACCUUGGUGGGCACGCCGUUGAUGGUGGCCUUCACCACCUCGCCGAAGACGUCGCACGCCUCGUAGACGUUGAACUGUGGAGAAAGAAAACCAGAAGGGUGAGAAUGGUUUGGACAAGCACGCUAGCAGACGCCAGCAACUCUGCUAGCGACAAGCCGCGAGCGUCGGUUACUGUGAUGCUCUUCGACAUUCCCGCUCGACUUUCUGGCAUAGUCGCAACCACGUGCUUACCUCGAUCUUCUUCAGGUCCGCCUUGGUGCAGCAGUAGUCAGUGCAGCCAGCCGGCACCUUGGCGCUCAGCUUGAAGCAGUACUGGUUGUUGCCCUUGGCAACGACGACAUCACCCAGCUUGUAGGCCGAGGGAGACUUCUUGCACUGGCAGUAGGGGAACGAGGUGUACAAGCCCGACUGAGCACCCUGGGCGGCCCUGCAUUCCGAAGGCACAAGGGCAAAAGAUGUGUUGGUUCGCAUGUGUGCAUCGGCGUGCAGUCUUGAACCCAUGUGUGCAUGACGUCCUAGAGAAGAUGACACUGCCAUGUACUGAUCGAUUGCGCUCCAGGCUCCAUCAAAGGCCCGCCGGCCUAAGCUGGGGAAUGCUGGCGUGCUCCAGUGGCUGUCGAGCGUCCAGGAAAGGCUGAGCUGCCACCGUGAGCUGGGGAUGCUUUCACGUUAUGACCAACACAUCUGUCUGUGACAUACAUCAAGCUAGGGGCUGGAUCGCCUACGCCGCGACAAAAAUGGCGCGACUCCGAGAGAGCCAUCACAGACACUACUCACGCGAAUGCGGCAGCCACGAGAACGGCAACCAGCGAAUAGCUGGACCUCAUUGUUACAGAGGUCGUUCAGCUAAUUAUGGUGACCAUUUGCGCGCCGAGGGCUAUAAAUUCUGCUGGCCGAUUCCGUACGACGGCCCGCCCGCCGUCUGCCUCGACUUCGACUCGCCUCCUGGCACGCUCGACUGGCUUGCUGGCAUUGGUAACAGCCGAAUGCCGAUGCGAUUUAAUCACCAAGCCAAAAUCCACACGCAAUGUCAGCGGGCGGCGAGCGCCCACCAGGUUUUCGCGAUGAACAUGUUUUCGCGAGGCCAGUUUUACUAUAAUAUAAAACAAACUACAAGGUGUGAGCCAUCAAUAGCUUGAUCAAGGAAACACAGGAGUUGGUCGGCCGGAUUGCGGCCUGCCAUAAAUGGAAGGCAAUUUUAGGGUUGAGCCUUGUAACAAAACUGUUAGCAACAAACAGUUUCUACGCAUCUUAAGGGCCCUCUACAGGGCCCUUAAGAAUCGCGACAGCUUAUUCCUCUCAACGGUCGCUCGCUGCCUCUAGGGAUUCUGAGCCGGUCUCCUUUCUUAAAAGCAUUUGUAUCUAUACUGACUGUGGGUCUUCUAUAGACGACGGCCUGCUGUCCUGUACGCCAUUCAUAUGUUCUGGGUCUCUGCGGCCGGGAAGGGCCCGGGCAUACUCUCCUUAAUGGUCAAAGAUAAUGGGUAGACAACCGUCACCGUAAAACUCCAGCUUCGGGGCUGACUUCCGGCAAGGUAGUUAUUGGCGCGUCGAACAUCGUGCGGUCGACCUGACCGCGCUCGCUCGCCAGCCUGAAAAAGGACUACGUUUGUGGUGCUUAAUACAGCUUUCAUACGACAUGCUGUGCUGCCUCCAUCGCGUACUGCCAGCUGACAGUCUGAAGGGCAAACGACCAUGUUGUGGUUUUGGUGGCCGCGUGGCGCCCGUUCGCCUGCGCGCCCGCCCACCGCGCCCCCGGCCAAGCUUGAGUUUCUGUGGCAUCCUUGAACUGCAUGCCCCAACAGCUCACCUAAGUAGCUUCGGUUAGUCUGCAGGUGCCAAGACGCCUUCGCGGCACUUGGCGCAGCCGGGGCUGGCCGUGCCGUUGAACACCAGGGCCAGGGCUCCCCCUCCAGCUUCCCUGCGCCAGGGCUUUGGGGGCGCAUUUAAGUGGGCGGGUCCGCAAGUGGGUGGGUCUGCUGUGAAGCCCUUCAUGGGCUGAGUCCGCUUGUUGCCUUGCUCAACAAGGGCUGCCAGGUUUGGAGUGGCCGAGGGUAUGGGCCUUUGCAUGUAGUGUCACAAGGGUGUGACUACAGCACCCGAUGUGAAGAGUCUGACGCGGGAUUGGCCCGUCAGGCACGCCACGCACCGGCAGGCACGUGCGGGAGCUGGAGCUUCACAUGUUCAUUGUGGCAAUAUGCAGCUAGUUAUUUACAUAUUCUGCAAGGGGCACGUUCCGACUCCCAUGCUCCCAUAUGCAGUUGAGAAAUGCGUCUAACCUGACAGGCUCAGGUCUCAGCAUGACUGCGCGCAUGCUUUUACUGAAGUCCAAGCCACUGCUCCACACCACACGCAACGCCUCACGUUGAUGCCCUGUGCCGCGACAAAACUGAAGAGCUGCGCGCGCCAUCUAUCUCCCGCCGGGUUCACCCAUGCCAUCGGUGAGUGAUUAUCGCACUGCAGUGUAACAAGCGAUCCGCCAAAACCCCACUCCAUGAGUCAAGUUGGGCCCUGAUAGCAUGUGAUGGCUCGGCGUCUUCGGGUGCUGGGACUGUCCCCUCUGUAACAUCCGCAUUCAUGAGUCUGAUUCCGCUCAUUCAAUGCGAAUCUGACACAGUCCACACGCCAACAAAACCUUCUUCAUCAGAACUGCCCCCUAAAGCCUCAUGGUGCAAGAUGUGUGGUCCCCCCCGCAUGGGAAAAGUGGGCUGAGCCCACGCGACGUCUCUAGUCUGAGGCCGCAAGCGUCUACCUCACCUCCCUGACAUAGCCGGGGUCGGUUCGUACAGGCACGGCCCGCCAUGUGUCCAGCCACGUCCCGCUGCCAAGCAACAGCACAGCCAGCAAUCAACCAAACAGCAGGAAACCCUCUAACAUUCCUCACUGCCCCGGCCUACCACAUACUGCCCAGCCAUCCCAAUACAGCCGCCACCUUCUGUCAGCCAGCCAUGGGCGCGACCGUCCACAGCGUUUACCGUCGGUUACGAGGUAACAUGUGAAUUCGCAACUUGCGCUACUGACUGCCUACUCUCGUGCCGCCUGCAAGCCCACUCCGCCUUCCGCUCUGGUCCACGUACGCAUUAGUUCCGCAACACACGUCAAAUACUGUGCGGUGCUAUGCUCGCCAGCAAAGACCCUAACCAGACACCGGCCGACCUCAACCUGCGCGCCGGCGCCGGUGCCGCUUGUUGGGCGCCUCAAGGUGAAAACAACAACCCAAAGCGCAACUUACCGCGUAUACGCAUAGGAUGAAUAAGACCCGUAAGUUCAGAUCUCCACCUCAAACCUCACCAGCCCAGAGUUUGCUUGGCAUGCAUGAAGCAUUUCGACGCCCUUCCGACCGCUCCAGUACCCACAAAUCAAGUUGAAUGGGGUUUCUCCAGAGCAGCUGAGGCUGGCUAUGGGCAUGGGUUGACCAGCAGCCAGGUACAGAUAGAGAUCUUUUGCCUCAGCAGUUUGUACGACCAGACUGCAUGACGCCUGAUGACAAAGUCGUAUGCACGAAACCAAACUAACUGCGAACUGCGAUCCAAGUUGUAGGUAUCCGGAGUACCGUACCUGACCCGGAUACCACACUGUUCAUAUCGCGCAGGGGCCGAAGGGGUUGCGGAGCCAACCGCCACCGGUGCCAUGUGUGAUCCAGUCAUAACGCAUUUUAGUAGACUUGAAUAAAGCUUGUUGGCCUGUUUACCAUUAAUAUGGCAUGGUUCGGCCUUACGGAAAAUGCACAGCAAUGCUGAACACGCUGGGGUGGCAACCGUGGCGCAUGUACUGCGCAACAGCCCUAGCCUGCCCCCAGUAGCACUCGCAUGCCUGCGCCCGAACUCUUGCAUCGCACACCACACUCAACCGUGUAUUGUUGCAGCAACUCAAGUCCUCGUCACGCCCCACUUGGCCCUCAUUCGGGUCAGCAGUGAUGCAUACAAGUACAUGGUAGCGCUGUCGCUGCAACCUCCAGCGCUCGCAGCUUCCGGCGGCGGCACACGCUCCCGGCGGCGGUGGGAGUACGAAGGAGGGCACGGGCCCACGCCAGCCUUGCCGCCGGCAUGACUGGCCACUCCGCCAUGUCUGUCUGCGGCGCUACCCGCAGCUGCCCCUCAACCCUUACACAGGCGCCGUCGCUGCCACCGGCUCCGCAGCAAUAGCUCAAGGGGCAGACGCCGCUGCCGCCGCUGCCGCCGUGUCACCAGCCUCAGCGCCGCUGGCGGCGGCAGCCGCCCUCCCUGCCGGCGAUGCAUCUGUAGCACCCGCGCCACCGCCGCCGUAGCUACCGCCCGUGGCGGCGGCGGAGCCGGCAGAAGCGGUUGACGCCGGAUACAGCAACGGCAGCGUCACGCUCUCCGACGGUGCCAACACGGGCAGGACGCCGCCACCGCCGCCGCCGCCGCCGCCGGUGCCCACGAGCGAGAGGUGUGACGACGAUGCAAUCCCCAGACCCAGUGACGGCAUGAGGCCGGCGAAGCUGGGGGCCUGCGAUGAGAAGGACAGCAGCCCACCCACGCCCAGGCCCGUGCCGGCGCCGCUGACCUCGCCGCCCGCCGCCGCGGCGGCAGCGGCGGCGGCCGCAACCGCGGUGGCGGCGGCCGCCGAGACGCUGGUCGCCGUCGCUGCAACCGACACGCCCAUGGCCUCAGCUGCGCUGGCGAACGCUGGCAGGGCCCGCGGCCUUGCUGCGAAGGCGGAGGUGCUGCCGACGCCUGCGGCGCCUGUAGCGCCGGUAGCUGCUGCGGCUGCAUCGCCACCGUUGCCUCCGGUGCUGGCGUCAGAGGCAGGCGGCGCAGCCGGCGGCGGCGCGUGUGACGGGGCUGCAGGCGUUGGCGAAGCGGGAGCACCAGAAGGCGCGGCGGCCGCGGCGCGGCCGAGGGCGCGCAAAGGCGUUGGUGUGCCGCCGCCGAUGGCAGCGUACGGCAGUUGGUUGCUGCCUGUGCGGAUGGGCGGUGCUGGCGGCGACGGCGGAGCUCCCAUUGCCGCCGCGAGUCCUAGGUCCGGUGCGCUGUUGAGCGCCGCCGCCGCCGCCGGCGGCAGCAGCCCGUUAUGUGUGACCCCUGCCGCUGCCCCCGCUACCGCCGCCGAGCCCGCUUCCGACACCGUGUUCAGUCCUGCAGCCGCCGCCGCCGCCACCGCCUCUGCCGCCGCCUCUGCUGCCGCCCCCAUCUGUCUGAGCGCGCGGGGUGAUAGCGGUGAGCCCAGCAAUGACGGCGCUGGCGCCGCCGCUGCCGCUACCGUCGAUGCCUCAGCAGAUGCCAGCAUCACGCGCGAGCUGCUACUGCUUCCAGCACCGCCGCCGCCGUCGCCACCAACACUGCUGGCUGCUGCAACGUUCCUGCUACUGCCACUGCCCCCCGGAAACAAGCCGUGCGGCAGCGUCCCCGGCGGCACGGGGCUUCCCGGCGGCCCCGAGCCCGAGGCGACUGCCGCCGCGCCCUUGGCACUGCUGGCGCCGCUGCCGCCGCCGCCAGGGCUGACGCCGCCGCCGCCGCCGCCGCGCGGGCGGCUGGUAAUUCGUUUCAGCACUGGACCGCCGCCGCCAAGCAGCCCGCCCAACGCCCCCCCCAGUAGUACUGGCGGCGCCAUGCCAUCCUCAUCAUCCGAAUCGUCCAGGACCACAGCCGCCGGCGGCACCGCCAGUGACAGCGGCGGCGGCGGCUCCGCGCCGCCGCCACUGACCGCUCGCGCCAUGGCUAGACGCGACGCGCUGCUGCUGCCGCCUGGCUCGUGAACUGCGUCAGCAGGUCCCUCUUGUAACCAAUGCAAUCUGCCGCCGCCGCCGGCGCUCGUGCCAAUGCCGCCGGAACGCGCGGCGGCGGCGGUACUACGGCCGCUGCCGCUGCCGACGCUGCCUCGCGCGACGCGAACCGCUGCGUCCGUUGCCGCGCCUGCCUCCGCCGACUGCGCCACCCCCGCGGCGGCCGCCAGGCCGCCGCCGCCGCCGCCGCCCUCCGGCUGCGCCGGCGCAGCCGCCGGCUGCCGCGCCGCGGCGGCGGCGGCCUGCGCCAGCAGCGCCUGCUGCUGCUGCUGCUGCUGCUGCUUCCGGGCCUUCUUUGCCGCCAACAGGUCAUUCAGCAGCCGCGUCAGCACGUCCAGAGCGUCCAGGAAGCGCGGCCGGGCAGCGGGUGAGGCGGACAGGCAGGCGGUGGCGAGGUCGCGGUAGGCGGGCGGGCAGGCGGAGGGCUCGGCGGGCCAGGUGUAGAACUCGGCGGGCAGGUUGGGGAUGCGGCGGCGCAGCGGCAGGCGGCGGGCCACUGUGGAGCCGUGGAGCAGCUCCCACAGGAUCACGCCGAAAGAGUAGC
RNAcentral lists this long non-coding RNA (28779 nucleotides) under Chlamydomonas reinhardtii. Its description in RNAcentral is "long non-coding RNA (CREI_LNC001144)". The record is from RNAcentral. Lineage: Eukaryota; Viridiplantae; Chlorophyta; Chlorophyceae; Chlamydomonadales; Chlamydomonadaceae.